RNAcentral lists this ribosomal RNA (433 nucleotides) under uncultured bacterium. RNAcentral's name for it is "partial 16S ribosomal RNA". It matches the Rfam family "Bacterial small subunit ribosomal RNA", at positions 29 to 507 of the family's 1533-position model. The record is from RNAcentral.
AACGAACGCUGGCGGCAUGCCUAACACAUGCAAGUCGAACGAGACCGUCGGGCCUAGUGGCGCACGGGUGCGUAACGCGUGGGAACCUGCCCUUAGGUUCGGAAUAACUCCCCGAAAGGGGUGCUAAUACCGGAUAAUGUCUUCGGACCAAAGAUUUAUCGCCUUUGGAUGGGCCCGCGUUGGAUUAGCUAGUUGGUAGGGUAAAAGCCUACCAAGGCGACGAUCCAUAGCUGGUCUGAGAGGAUGAUCAGCCACACUGGGACUGAGACACGGCCCAGACUCCUACGGGAGGCAGCAGUGGGGAAUAUUGGACAAUGGGCGAGAGCCUGAUCCAGCGAUGCCGCGUGAGUGAUGAAGGCCUUAGGGUUGUAAAGCUCUUUUAACCGGGAUGAUAAUGACAGUACCGGGAGAAUAAGCUCCGGCUAACUCCGUG